AGCUAAUAGAUACCCCGGUAGUCCACGCCCUAAACGAUGUCUACUAGUUGUUGGUGGAGUAAAAUCCAUGAGUAAACGCAGCUAAACGCGUGAAGUAGACCGCCUGGGGAGUACGGUCGCAAGAUUAAAAACUCAAAGGAAUUGACGGGGGCCCGCACAAGCGGUGGAUUAUGUGGAUUAAAUUCGAUGCAACGCGAAAAACCUUACCUGGCCUUGACAUGCCACUAACGAAGCAGAGAUGCAUUAGGUGCCCGUAAGGGAAAGUGGACACAGGUGCUGCAUGGCUGUCGUCAGCUCGUGUCGUGAGAUGUUGGGUUAAGUCCCGCAACGAGCGCAACCCUUGCCAUUAAUUGCCAUCAUUUAGUUGGGUCACUUUAAUGGGGACUGCCGGUGACAAACCGGAGGAAGUGGGGAUGACGUCAAGUCCUCAUGGCCCUUAUGGCCAGGGCUUCACAC
Molecule: ribosomal RNA, 456 nt
Filed under: uncultured bacterium
Lineage: Bacteria
Description: bacterial SSU rRNA
Rfam family: Bacterial small subunit ribosomal RNA
Source: RNAcentral